CAGCCGCCGCGGGAAUACGAAGGGGGCUAGCGUUGUUCGGAAUCACUGGGCGUAAAGCGCACGUAGGCGGACACUUAAGUCAGAGGUGAAAUCCCAAGGCUCAACCUUGGAACUGCCUUUGAUACUGGGUGUCUUGAGUUCGGGAGAGGUGAGUGGAACUGCGAGUGUAGAGGUGAAAUUCGUAGAUAUUCGCAAGAACACCAGUGGCGAAGGCGGCUCACUGGCCCGAUACUGACGCUGAGGUGCGAAAGCGUGGGGAGCAAACAGGAUUAGAUACCCCCGUAGUCCCUGUCUCUUAUAC
RNAcentral lists this ribosomal RNA (301 nucleotides) under uncultured bacterium. Its description in RNAcentral is "partial 16S ribosomal RNA". It matches the Rfam family "Bacterial small subunit ribosomal RNA", at positions 509 to 807 of the family's 1533-position model. The record is from RNAcentral.